CAUAAAGAAACAGGUUGGCGUUCUCUGGUCCCUCUGCCCGCACGCCCUCGUCUCUGCGCCUCAGCUCGCCGACACCGAGAGCUCUCCUCUGGGACCGAACCCGAACCCCAUAUCUCGCUCUCUUCACGCCCACCCCCCGCGCGUCCUCCUCGGUGGAGAUCGAAGCAUUCCAUCCCACAGCUGUUGGACUGGCCAAAGGAGGAACAAGGCAUCUGUGCUUUUGCACAGGGAUGACAAAAAUAUAAGAAAAUUUUAAAGGAGAAAAGGAGAGGAAAAAAGGAACAAAAUUUUCUGUGGUCUGAAUCUAGUGGGUUCAUGAAUUCACGAAGGUUCAUCUCCAAUCUCUCUCUCUCUCUCUUUCUCUUUCUCUUUCUCUCGCAUGCGUGCACGAAUGCGCAAAUGCAAAUUGCAAUUAUCGGGAUUUGGUAGUCAUUGACCUUGUUGAGAUUUUGGAUUCACACAUCAAGAUUUCUAUGUCUUUUCUAGUUAUUGAUAUUUAAUUAUUUAUAGAUGAUUUGAUUUAUUUUGUGAAAUAUUUUAAAUAUGUAAUCUGAAUUAUAGUAGUGCUAAAUUGCUAAGUUUUCUGCUCAGUGAAAGUCUUUUAAACAUUUAUUCUUCUUUUUUCCCUCUUAUUGAUUUUGUAAAAGAACUCUAUUUUAAACUUCUGGGUUCUUAUACCACCAAAUUUUGUAAUUUGAAGACAAAUGGACUAACCUGAUGCGGGCAACAAAGUUGGAUGUUGCAUGUGAGAUUAUCGAAGCAACAGAGCUGCUCUUUUUGAUGGCCUUGUGGAGGGUGGCAUCCGAGACUAUUCCUCUCAUGAAAUUGAUGAGCAUGAAAAUGAUAGAGCUAUUGAUGGGCUGCAAGAUAGAGUGAACAUUCUUAAGAGAUUGACGGGUGAUAUACAUGAAGAAGUCGAGAUGCACAAUCGCGUACUGGACAGAAUGGGCCAUGAUAUGGAUGCUUCAAGAGGUGUUCUUUCUGGAACAGUUGACCGUUUCAAGAUGGUAAAUUAGUUCGGUCUCAUCCUUUGCUUUAAAUCUUAUUUCAUCAGAUUGCUGAUGACAUUAGUUUUCUCAAUCACGUAUUCGAGAAAAAAUCGAGUCGCAGAAUGGCUACACUUGUUGCAUCUUUUUUGGCACUCUUCUUGCUUAUAUACUACUUGACCAAGUAGGAUUCUACAUAAUCUGCUAGGCUGCCACUGUAAGGUUUAUGAUGACCUGAGAAGACUGUCAAUCCUACUACUAGAGUGUUGCAACAAUAGCUUGUGUAUAUAAUAUUUUCUUUGAGAACUAUGUGUAAACAUAUGAGAUCUUGAAGGUUUAAUGUCCUUCCGGUUUGAAGAUUGAGUUGUCUGGGCUGCUCCAUCAUUCAUUGUACAUGAAACUAUAGCUCCUACUGUCAGAACUUAAACCGGUAUUGAUUCUUGGCAUACUAGUGAUUUAGUGUUCAUUUCAUCAUAAAACCAAGGGAUUGCAGCCUUGUGUAUUAUG
Molecule: non-coding RNA, 1493 nt
Organism: Phoenix dactylifera (date palm)
Lineage: Eukaryota; Viridiplantae; Streptophyta; Magnoliopsida; Arecales; Arecaceae
Source: RefSeq, a predicted model, not a curated record